GAUGAACGCUGACAGAAUGCUUAACACAUGCAAGUCUACUUGAAUUUGGGUUUUUUUACUUAGAUUUGGGUGGCGGACGGGUGAGUAACGCGUAAAGAACUUGCCUCACAGCUAGGGACAACAUUUGGAAACGAAUGCUAAUACCUGAUAUUAUGAUUAUAAGGCAUCUUAGAAUUAUGAAAGCUAUAUGCGCUGUGAGAGAGCUUUGCGUCCCAUUAGCUAGUUGGAGAGGUAACGGCUCACCAAGGCGAUGAUGGGUAGCCGGCCUGAGAGGGUGAACGGCCACAAGGGGACUGAGACACGGCCCGUACUCCUACGGGAGGCAGCAGUGGGGAAUAUUGGACGAUGGACCAAGAGUCUGAUCCAGCAAUUCUGUGUGCACGAUGACGUUUUUCGGAAUGUAAAGUGCUUUCAGUUGGAAAGAAAAAAAAUGACGGUACCAACAGAAGAAGUGACGGCUAAAUACGUG
Molecule: ribosomal RNA, 469 nt
Filed under: uncultured bacterium
Lineage: Bacteria
Description: partial 16S ribosomal RNA
Rfam family: Bacterial small subunit ribosomal RNA
Source: RNAcentral